CAGCCCUAAACGAUGCGCGUUAGGUGUAUCGGUGACCACGAGUCACCGAGGUGCCGAAGGGAAACCGUGAAACGUGCCGCCUGGGAAGUACGGUCGCAAGGCUGAAACUUAAAGGAGUUGGCGGGGGAGCACCACAACGGGUGGAGCCUGCGGUUUAAUUGGACUCAACGCCGGGAAGCUCACCGGAUAAGACAGCGGAAUGAUUGCCGGGCUGAAGACCCUGCAUGACCAGCUGAGAGGUGGUGCAUGGCGUGUGACUGU
This 261-nucleotide ribosomal RNA is filed under the name uncultured archaeon. Its description in RNAcentral is "partial 16S ribosomal RNA". It matches the Rfam family "Archaeal small subunit ribosomal RNA", at positions 748 to 1008 of the family's 1478-position model. The record is from RNAcentral.